GCCACCUUAGCUCAGCUGGCUAGAGCAUCGCUUUCGUAAAGCGGGGGUCCGGGGUUCGAAUCCCCGAGGUGGCUCCA
Molecule: transfer RNA, 77 nt
Filed under: Candidatus Saccharibacteria bacterium RIFCSPHIGHO2_12_FULL_47_16b
Lineage: Bacteria; Candidatus Saccharimonadota
Also listed under: 3 other names
Description: tRNA-Thr
Rfam family: tRNA
About the family: Transfer RNA (tRNA) molecules are approximately 80 nucleotides in length. Their secondary structure includes four short double-helical elements and three loops (D, anti-codon, and T loops).
Source: RNAcentral